Molecule: long non-coding RNA, 3242 nt
Filed under: Gossypium raimondii (Peruvian cotton)
Lineage: Eukaryota; Viridiplantae; Streptophyta; Magnoliopsida; Malvales; Malvaceae
Description: long non-coding RNA (GRAI_LNC002428)
Source: RNAcentral
UCAUUUCAUAUCAUCAAAGAUUCAAGGUCAAAAUAUAACCAUACUCAUAAAACAAAACUCUCAACAAAAUCCUAUCUUGAAAGGUUAACAAUAUCCUAGAUAAGAGUCAGGGGCACUUCACAAUUGCCUCAUAAACUAUCUAGGAAAGAAGGAAUUUAUAUUGGAGGGGCAGGCAGUCCAUCAUUGCCCAAGAUAUGAACCAGAGAAGAUGGAGUUCGAACAACCUAGUCUGCUAUGCUCAUCUCCUUCUUGUAGUAGGAAGCAACCCAGUCAGCUGCCUGGUUAGCAGAUCUUCUGAUCAGUUGGAUUCCCACAUGUGGAAUCUAUUUGAUCAACCUAUCUAACAUGAUAAUGAUAGGCCAUAGUUUCCAUCUAUGCUUCCCUUUCUUCUUCACAAGCUCAUUAUGCACAAUUUGAGAAUUAGUUUCCAUUAUGAUCUUUUCGAAGUUCCUUUUCUUAGCAAAUUCAACACCCAAUUUUAAUUUCAAUGCUUCAGUCAUUUUUGGAGAAUCAGAGACAGUACUCAAAGAUGUGCUAUCAACCAAUGUCCCUAUACUAUCUCGAACAAUAACCCCAAGUCCAGCUUUCCCUAUCUUAAUAUCAAAAGCCCUAUCACAGUUAAGUUUCAGCCAAUGUUCCUCAAGUUUCUCCUAUGUGACCUCAAUUGAGUUAGCCAUUGACAGUCUGGUCUGACCCUCAUUUCCUUCUCUACAAUCCAUCAUCGCCUUAGGCGCAAUUUGUUUCUUUCUUAUAGUCUUCCAAAUUACAAUCUAUUUCCCUUGCAUAACUCUUUCACACCUCAUUUUCCAUAUAUACCAAGUUGCAUAGCAAAUUCUAACCAAUUAAUCAUCUCUCUGAAUCUCUAAUCUUUCUUUGUUUCCAGCAGUAGAAAGCAGCUAACAAUCAAAGGUGCUAAUGUUUUCCCCAGAAAUUUGUAGACCAUAUACAGCUUCAAACCAAAUCACACUUACCCAGUCACAUCCAAAAAGAUGCUUAAUAGUUUCAUCAUGCCGCUGGCAUAUCUCAGAUGUUGGUUUAGGGAUACAUUUCCUUUUCCAAAGUCCCACUUGAAGGCAAGGUGUUAUGACUCGAUUUUUAUAGGUGCCGGAAAAUGCGGUUUUGAAAUCUCAUUUCCGUAAAUCGAACCCGUAAUGAUGAAAUAUAAAAAUUAAUGAAGUUAAUAUGAAAAUAUAUUAAAGUUCAGUUAAAUAAUUUAACCAAGAAAAUUAGUUAAUUAAAUCUCAAUGAUUAAAUUGUAAAUGAUUAUUUAACCAUUUUUCAACAUGAAUUAGUGGAUGAUGAUUGUUAAUUCCACUUAGUUUAAUUAAUAACAAAUUAAGUAUUAUAAUGCUUAAUUAACUAAUUAAACAAAGUUAAUUAAGGAAAAGAAAGAGAAAAUUCACUUCAUCUUCUUCCUUGCUGUCCAAAAAGAAAGAAAAAGAAAGGAGAAAACUCUAUUUGAAAGCUUGCAUUCGGCCAAGCAAAUAACAUAGGUAACAAAGCUAAUUUCAUGAAUUUUUUUUAGAUUUAUGAUCAUGGGAGUUUGAUUUAGCUAACUCGUGUAUCAAUUUGUUCAAUUGUUAAGUUUCUAGCAAGUUGCCAUUAGAGAGAAAUUGAUGAAGUAGGCUUGAAUUUGUUAGUUAAUAAGCUUAGAUCAUGAUAAGGACUAAAUUGAAAAUUAAAUUAAGCUUGUUUGAUAACUUUGUAACAUUAGAGACUAAAUUGAAUAAAUCAGAAACUAUCAUGAGAUUAUGCUAUAGAUGAAAAAUAUAGGGUCCCUAACAAAAAUGUGAAACCGAAUUUUGAUCUGAUGCUAGAUAUCAAAAAAUAUACAUAUUUCGAGUAUAGGGACUAAAUUGAAUAAAAUGUAAAAUAUGAGUGUCUAUGUAUUUGGAUGUGAAUUGAGUGUAAACUAAUAAUGUUUUUAGUAUUGAAUUAUCAAACGUAGCUAAAGACGACAUCAAGUCGUAUCGGAGAAGGGAAAGUUGAGAGUUGUUGUCAAGUAGCGGGCAAUAUCGGUUUAUACUUUUAUGAUUCAAGAUCAUUAUAUUUAUAUGCAUAUACAUGUUGAUUGCAUGAUUAACUAUCGAGGUAAGCUUAUGCUUGUUGUACGAAUUGAUUGGUGUUGAACGAUAAUGUGUUAAGAACUGAGUUGAGUUGUGCAUAACAUAAUUGAAUAUGAUAUGAAAUUGAUUAUGGCAUAUUAUGUGAAUUGAUGAUGAAAUGAAAUGAGAUACAAUAUGUGAAUUAGUUAUAUCAUGUAAUUCGAUCAUUGGUACUCUAUUAAAUGUUCGAUCAGUGUCAGAUAUAGUUAGCAUGUCAUAGGAUUAGAUUGUGUUCAAGUUAUACUUUGGUUAUACGUCGAUAAGCACUGGGCGCAUUUUACUUCGAAUGUUCCGAUGAGUGUUGAGCACACUUUUACUUCGGUUAUACCAAUGAGUGUUUGGCACAAUGUAUACUUCAGACGUUCUGAUGAGGCACUAGGUGUCAGAUUGGUGUGUUGGCCGGAUGAUCCACGUAUCUAUCCCGAGUCUGAGUUAGGUUAAUAGGGAUUAUAAAAUAUGAACUUGAUAAAUGAUAGUGAAUUGAGAUGAUACCAAUGAGUGUUUGGCACAAUGUAUACUUCAGACGUUCUGAUGAGGCACUAGGUGUCAGAUUGGUGUGUUGGCCGGAUGAUCCACGUAUCUAUCCCGAGUCUGAGUUAGGUUAAUAGGGAUUAUAAAAUAUGAACUUGAUAAAUGAUAGUGAAUUGAGAUGAUAAUAUGAAACAGUACCAUAUGUGUAUAAAUGUGAAAUGUGACUAAAGAUAGCAUGUGAAAGAUCAUGUGAUCCGGUUAUAAACGAGCCCGGGGGCCAAAUCAAACAUAAACGAGUCAACAGACUUGAGAGAGAUAAUUGAAUCGUGAAAUGAAAGAUUAGAUGACAUUGGUUGAAAAUGAGAAUUGAGUACAUAUUUUAGAUGUGUGUGUGUAUAUAUAUGUGUGUGAAAUUGAAAUGGAAUUGAUUGUAUCUUUGUUAAUAGAAAGUAUGGUAAAGAAUGUUUCAAUUGAUUAUCAAAUAAGCUAGUGUAUGAGAUUGACAUUUGAGUAAUGAACAUGUAAAUUGACAUGGUUGAAUCAUAGCAUUGAACUUUUAUUGUGAUUAUACUCAUUUUAUGACUUGAAUCAUGAAAGUACCACUGAGCUUUUUCACCCAACGUAUAGUUUGUUUAUUCUGAUUAUGCUCAUUUUCUUGACUUAAUU